This 425-nucleotide ribosomal RNA is filed under the name uncultured bacterium. Its description in RNAcentral is "bacterial SSU rRNA". It matches the Rfam family "Bacterial small subunit ribosomal RNA", at positions 357 to 774 of the family's 1533-position model. The record is from RNAcentral.
GGGAAUAUUGGACAAUGGGGGGAACCCUGAUCCAGCGAUGCCGCGUGUGUGAAGAAGGCCUUCGGGUUGUAAAGCACUUUCAGUGGGGAGGAAAGGCAGUGGAUGAAUAAUCUACUGCUAUGACGUUACCCACAGAAGAAGCACCGGCUAACUCUGUGCCAGCAGCCGCGGUAAUACAGAGGGUGCAAGCGUUAAUCGGACUUACUGGGCGUAAAGGGCGCGUAGGUGGUUAUCUAAGUCAUUUGUGAAAGGUUUGGGCUUAACCCAAGACUAGCAGAUGAGACUGGAAAGCUAGAGUAUAGUAGAGGGAAGUGGAAUUUUCGGUGUAGCGGUGAAAUGCGUAGAUAUCGGAAGGAACAUCAGUGGCGAAGGCGGCUUUCUGGACUAAUACUGACACUGAGGCGCGAAAGCGUGGGGAGCAAACA